CAGGCCGUGCUUGAGGAUGACCAUGCGCUCGGCCACGCCCUUGGCGCGCGCGGUUCGGAUAUAAUCCUGCUGCAUGACCUCGAGCAUCGAGGAACGGGUCAUGCGCGCGAUGUACGCGAUGGGGGAGAAGGAGAGGCACGUCACCGGCAGGAUGUAGUGCUUCCAU
RNAcentral lists this non-coding RNA (166 nucleotides) under human gut metagenome. The record is from RNAcentral.